Molecule: long non-coding RNA, 9556 nt
Filed under: Olea europaea subsp. europaea
Lineage: Eukaryota; Viridiplantae; Streptophyta; Magnoliopsida; Lamiales; Oleaceae
Source: RNAcentral
GUACAUUUUUCCUAAAGUUAAUAGCAUACCCUUCAAUGUCUCUUCAUUAGUCAGCCUCUAAUAAAAUCCUAUUAAGCACAUGAUAGUUGAAUUUUUGAAUUGAACAGCGUAAUUUCUCUAUAGAGGGAGAGAUUUAGAGAAAUUGAUAAAAACACGAAAAUACACUGGCCCAAAUUCACUUAUUAUUAUUUUUUUUUUUAUAAAUACACGUACAAGAAUCUUAUUGAUCUCUCCGGUCGUUGAAUUGUACGCUCAUAUUCAAUUUUGACGCUGAAUUGUAAUUUUUAUUCAACACCCCGUGGCCUAUUUUCCUUCCGCCCUGAUGAUUGAUGGUUGAGUUGCACCUGUGUUAUCGGAAAUUUCGAGGAAUCGUGGUUUUUGAGGAAUAUUUGUUCAGAAGGGCUGAAAUUUUUUGGUUUUGCUUGUAAAUCAAUUUUGAUGAGUUUUUUGGGUGUUGUUGAAGAGUGAAUUACUUUUGGAGUUCAUGAGAAAAUGAGCACCCAAAGACAAUCGGUGCGCGUCCGUGACCUCGUGGAGGAAGCUAAGAAGCGGAGUGUUUUUUUCAUCGUAUGCCUUUUUGGACUGUCCUAUCUCAUGUCCUGUAAGUGAUUCAUUGUUUGUCCAAUAUUUUCUAUUUUAUUGCUACUUUUUAUGGAGAUUAUGACUCUUCUGUAGCCUUUUUUCUCUUGAAAAUUUUGAAGAUUGAGCAUUGCAUUUGAAUGAUACUAUGAACUGAGGAUAGUUAAGCGCCUGUUUCACUGGGCUUAGAGUUUGAAGCAUUGGGAGGUCAAAAUUUGUUGAGUUUAUGGAGCUUUAUAUUGCACCAAUGUGAAGUUUCGUCUCCAAUUAGGAAUUUAGCAAGUCAAUAUCAAAAUAAUUUGUUAGCUUUUGUGAUCCUUCAUUUAACAUUCCUUUCCUCUAUGAAGUAACCAUUAGAUUUUUGUAAGUCUGGAUCUAUAUUUAUUGUACAACCUCAUUUGCUAGUGGUAAAUGUAGCGUCACAUUUUUCUAUUCAGUAAAUUAUGGAUGUUCUGAGGAUUUUUAAUAUCCGAGUAUGUAAUUUUUUUCCUAGUUUUGUAACACGAAAAGAUAAAAAGCCUGAAGAAGCAAGAGCGAUGCUAUCCGGUACAAGAGGUUAGUAGAGGGAGUAGACCAAAAUUAGCAUGACCAUAUGUGAUUGUUAGAUUGCAUGGAUCUUCCAUUAAAUUUAGUGAUAGACUAAACAUAAUGGUGGAAAAAGAUUCGUAAAACUGACCCAUAUUUAAGGAACGGCUUUGAUGUUGGACGUCAUAUUACUACUAUUCUGAAUUCCUUGUGCCAAGAUGCUUUCACUUAAAAUAGUGUUUGAAAUCUAUAUUUUUUCAUGGUAUGGGUUUAUUUUUGUGCAUGUGGAGAAAUUGUAUCAACUUUUCAAAAUCCUUGCAGGUGAUUGUUGCAUAGUAUCCGUUAUAAUUAUUUACGUUCUCCUCUUGUUCAAAAUACCUAAUUACUUAUUUCAAAAUAAGCAUCAAGGCAAUCAUUAAACUAAGGUGUCAAGUGAUUGAAUUCAAAAGGGACAAUCGGUUGUAACAUCCUGAUACAAAUUAUAUACACUAAAUCCCUCAAUAUGGAAAUUGGAUUUGUUAUGUAAAUUGUAUGGAUGGGAAGAUUUGCUCUAUAUUUACUUCCUUUGCUUUGCUAACAUUGUGCACACACCAAUAUUUAGUUGAUUUCGAAUAUACAACAUUAUGUUACGCAGGUAGUAAUUAUAUAUAUAUAUAUAUAUAUAUAUAUAUAUACACACACACACCAUGGGUGUCUGAGCCAACUUACGUACACCUCGACUAAUUCCACAAAGCCCUGAAGUUUAUAGUCGGGUACUCACUUCAGUGGCCCUUAGAGGAUUCAAACUGGUGACCAUUGGGGAGCAAACCCAAUGCUUGACCACUGAUCUACCUCAUAGGAUUAGUAAUUAUAGAUAUAUUACCAAUUGGUUUUCCGUUAAUUCGCAUAAUUAGGAUUUUGGAUUAAUAUUCUUCUAUUUCCACAUUUAUCAUUUCUAGUUUCUUGUUUUGGGGCUAUUUUUCACUUUUUCUCAUCCAAAUAAAUGUAUAAAUGUUAACUUAUAAAUGUGUAUGGUAUUUUCCAUGAUUAUUCAUGCCAUAACUCAAUGAUGUCACUGCUAAAUGCCAACUUUUACUAAUGGCAACAUGGGAUAAGUGUGUUAUUACUGUUCUGCAUCCAACUUUCAUAGUUUACAUAUAGGACUUGCCUUAGAAACAGAAAUGUGCGCCCUUCACAUUUUAGACUCAAUGUGGGACCUUUUUGUAAUGCUAAUUGUCAUAUACAGUUUGAGUUGAGAUCUACUGUUCAAAAUUGGUUGUCCGACUUGCUAUCCCAAUGAUACAUUAUUUUACACAUAUAUUUUAGCACAAGUAGCAGUGAGAAAGAAAAGUUGGAGAUGUUAAUUUAAAGUGAUGUAUCAAUAAAUCAUUGGUUGGACAACAAGUUAAAAAGCCAAUUUUGGACAACAAAUCUCAACUCAUAUAGUUUACUCACAAAUAAUCCCCAUCAUCCCAUGACCCAUUUAUAUCUGUAUUUGACUUUUUUGUCUUUAUCUUCUGUUUCUGCCCCCUUAACACCCCCCCCCCCCCCCCCAACCAGGCAUCAACCUUUGAGUUUUUAUCUUACUCUUUUCUCUCUUCCCAGUGACAAGCUCUUCGGUUCUAAUCAAUUUGCCUGCUGCCGCAUUUUUAAUAAUAACACUUCGCUACUUUUCUCUGGAUUUGGAUAUGCGGAGGAAAACAGCAACUUACAAAGGAAAUCCAAUAUCCGCAAACUAUUCUUUCAAGAGAGAACCUUUUGAUGAUCCUCGAGUUAUUGCUGAGAAGUCUGAUUGGAAGCUCAAAGUGAAUUCCCCUGUUGUUGAAGAUGCAAUUGACCAGUUCACUAGACACAUUGUCUCAGAGUGGGUAACAAAUCUCUGGUACUCUCGCAUAACUCCUGAUAAAAAAGGUCCAGAAGAGCUUGUGCAGAUCAUGAAUGGUGUUCUUGGGGAAAUUUCAUGUCGUAUGAGAAAUGUUAAUCUCAUAGAUCUUUUGACAAGGUUUUAUUUCCAGAGAUUUUACUGAUCAAAAUUUUAUUCACUGAGAUAUCUUCUGGAAGGUACUUAACGGAAGUACCUUGCUUGGUGUGGUGCAGGGAUAUUAUUAAUGUAGUAUGCAAUCAGUUGGAGCUUUUUCGCACAGCUAAGACAAAGAUUGAGAAACAACAAUCGAGAGUUUUAAGUAUUGAAGAGAGAGACGUCAAAUUAAAAUUUGUGCUGGCUGCAGAGAACAAAUUACACCCUGCUUUAUUUUCUGCUGAAGCUGAGCACAAGGUUAUUUCUUCUCUUUUCUUUUUUUUCUUUGUCCUCUUCUUGCACUCCAUAAUUUAUAGCUUCUUAAUGACACAAGGUUACUGUGGUUAACAAUUUUUUGUUCUGAAUGCUUGUUAGGUUCUCCAACAUGUUAUGGAUGGUCUUAUUAUGUUUACAUUCAAGCCAGAGGAUCUGCAGUGCUCCUUAUUUCGUUAUAUUGUUCGAGAACUACUUGCCUGUACCGUAAUGAGACCAGUGAUAAAUUUAGCUAGCCCAAGGUAAGGAUACAUCUCAUUCUGCCUUCUAGAACUGCCAUGUUUUUGUUCUUUAUACAUUACCAAAUUUGGUGUCAGGUUUAUUAAUGAGAGGAUUGAAUCUCUAGUUCUUUCAAGAAGCAAAACUGUUAAAGGAAGUAAGGCGAUGCACGUGACAUCGCUAUCAAAGCCAAAUGAAUCGUCAAAGAUAUCAUCUGAUUUUUCUCAAUUUGGAGAUCCUUCCAUCAAGGGUCUUGAACUUGUAGAUUUGAAGAAGGACCAGUCUAAAAGUGAUGUUGAGAUUCCUGCUUCUGAUAAUAUGAACAGAAAACUUCUUUUCAAAGAUCCAUUACUUUCCCUUGAUACACGAUCCACUCAUUCUUGGAGUUCUUUACCUGAAACAAACAGUGGUGAGGGAAGAGGGUUGCAACAACACCACUCUGGUGGAGAAUGGGGAGACAUGCUAGAUGUGGUUUCCCGCAAAAAAAUUGAGGCCUUGGCUCCAGAAAAUUUUGAUAAUAUGUGGACAAAAGGAAGAAAUUAUAAAAGGGAGGAAGGUGCAGAUCGGCUGGCUGAUCCUAAGAAACACAGCUCUUCAGUGGGGGUAUCUAAUUCAAUGGAGCAGUCAAAAGUGCUCAGUGGACAGAAGAAAAAGGAAUUAGAAACUAAGGAUAUGUUUCUUGAGAGAGAUAUUUCUAAUUCUAUUUCUAGUCGAAAUAAACUCCCUGGGGCAGAGAAUAUGAUCAUGCCUGAUAAUUUGAAAAACCAAAGUGGCACAGCUAGUUCUUUAUAUGAAGAGAAAAAUGAACAUAAUGUUGUGAAUUCGGAAGAAUCAGGUAACAGUAGUUAUACUGAGGAUGAAGACACCAGCUGUGUUACAGGUCUUGAUUCUCCUGGGGUUAGAGUUUGGGAUGGUAAAAGUAAAAGAAACUCCAGUCACAUUCAUCAUCCUCUUGAGACACUGGAUGGCCAUAAUAGUAAAAAGAUGAGCACAGGCCGCCUCCACUCUCAAAGAAUGCAAAAAGCAAAAUCUGCCAAAAAAAGAUCUAGGUGUAGCAGUGAUAAUGGGCAUGCCUGGCAAGAGGUUGAGAGAACAAGUUUCUUAUUGGGAGACGGGCAGGAUUUACUGAAUUCCUCCAAAGGAAACAUUAAAUUUGAAGACUCCAGUGAUGACUCUGAGGCAGAACUGUUAGGUAGAAUACACAGUGGAGCAACAACUUCUUCAUCUGUGUCCUUGACUUCUUUACCCGAAAGUCAUAUUAUGGCAGCUAACUCCGCAAAAAAUUCAAUUAUUGCUGAUUCCUUUUUCAAGUUAAGAUGCGAGGUGCUCAACUCACCCGUUUAAUCUUCUUCCUGAAUGUAGUUUAAUGCUUUUAGAUGAGAAGAAAGUGAUUUCGCUUCUUGUUGCAGGUAUUGGGCGCCAAUAUUGUGAAGAGUGGGUCCAAAACAUUCGCGGUUUAUUCCAUAUCUGUUACAGAUGUAAAUAAUAAUAGUUGGUCUAUCAAAAGAAGGUGCCAACUUGUGCUGCAGACUUUCUGGUUAUAUAUUUCACGUGCUAUAAUGCCCCUUUAUAUGCUGUUUCGUUGUAGUUUUUUAUUAACUCGUAUCUAUGGUGAGAUGAUGUAAUAUGACAGUGAAUGUUGCUAACCAAUUAGGUUGUUCACGAUGACAGAUUUAGUCAUUUUGAGGAAUUACAUCACCGCCUUAAAGAGUUCUCUGAAUAUAAUCUCCACUUGCCACCAAAGCAUUUUCUAUCAGCUGGUCUAGAUGUUUCCAUCAUUCAACAACGUUGUAAAUUGCUUGACGAGUAUCUGAAGGUCAUACAUCUAACACCACUGGACAGUUUGACUUUUAUAGUUUGAUUUAGUUUGUCAUUUUGUUUGGCUCUUGCUAUAGCAUAAAAUCAAAUAUCCAUUUUGCUUUGAAGUUCGCUUGGGAAGUAUUUCUACAAUUUCCCCCCUUAUCAUGAUGUCCUUUGGCCUUUGCUUUAUUCUAGAGCAUGCUCUGUUAUGAGCAAUGGUCCCUUAACAUGUUACUGUUGCUUCUUUAUAUUAGCUUUUCUGAUCCUUAAUGUUUCCAGUUUUUGUGGACUAAUUGUUUAAAAAUAAUGAUGUUAUAUAAGGGUUCUGUUGCCCGCUUACCUGCUGGAAAAAUAAUCCACUUUCUAUGAAUUGAACCAUCUUAUUUUACACUCCAUGACACAAAUACAUGCAUAGGGCUAUAUUGAAGUCUGCAGUUGUUAUGCAGAAGCUUCUGCAGCUGCCGACUGUUUCCUGCUCUAUUGAAGUCUGGGAUUUUCUAAGUGUUGAUUCUCAGGUUCGACUUAUUUUGUUCUCCUUUUUGCCGUCCUUGAAGUUUGAUAUUCAUAUCUGUUUUAUCUUGAACUUACAGUUAUGAUUUUCGAAAUAAUGCAGAUGUAUAUUUUCUCAAAUUCAUUAUCCAUUCUUGAGACUCUUUCAGGUGAAAUUUGUAUCUUAGCAGUGGAUUUUCGUCUAUACAAUAGUUUUAUGUUUCUUACAGUUUCAAACUGGUUUUUGGAUUUCAGUUGACCUGGAAGACACAGGUCAUGAAACCUAUAAAGAAUAUAUGGACAACGUAGGGCCAGUAGAUGAUCCAUUAUCCUCUGAAAGAGAAAAUUUGAGUAAUAAAAAUAAAGAGUCUGCAUUACUAAUCAAGGGUGGUCAUGCUGUUGAUGGGGCAAAAUUCAAAACAAAAGGUUCAGCUGUUUCUCCACCAAAAAAGCCUGGAAAGGCAUUUGAAAAGGCUUUUGAGGAUUCCAGUAGUGACUCUGACAAUCUGGAGCAAAAGAACCCACUUUUGACUGGAAAAUUGGAAAGAAGUGUAGAAAGUGAUAAGGUAGCUUUAUGUGAAUCUGGGUCUAUGGAUGCUGAUCUAGCCCUUCCUAGUGAUGUAAGUCACAGUCACUAUUUACUUGGCGUAUUUUCUUUGUUGUGUUCAACAAUGGAACAGAAUCCAGUUAUAGAUAAUGCUUGAUGAAUUUUUUAUUCAGAUAUGGACACAUCGUUUCCUACUUCCAUGUUCUUGUGGUCUGUCUGUAAUUUUGCAUGUUUAUGAUCUAUAACGGUUGUCUAAUUUUAUUUCUUCAUGCAGUGGGUGCCACCAAACCUAAGUGUUCCCAUAUUGGAUUUAGUUGAUGUCAUUUUUCAGCUUAAAGAUGGUGGAUGGAUCAGGUAUUAUUCAUGAACAACCGUACUAAUCUGAAGGAGGUUGAUUGUAUAUUAAUAUUCUAAUCUAAUUACCUCUGGCUAUCUCGGCUCGUAUAAACUUUGAGUGAAUUCAGGAGAAAGGCUUUCUGGGUGGCUAAACAAGUUUUACAAUUGGGAAUGGGAGAUGCCUUUGAUGAUUGGUUGAUUGGGAAAAUCCAGCUUCUGCGCCGGGGAUCAGUUGUUGCUGCUGGGAUCAGACGGUUGGAGCAGGUAUCCUCAUUGAUGGCCUGGUAGUUGAGAUACACACUUUUUCACGUAUCUUGUUGACUGCCUUUUCACUCAACUUUCUGAUUAUCUCACAAGUAUUAUUUUAAGAGUUUAUAAUGUUAAUUGAAUUACUAAUUCUAGAGCUAUGGAACUAGGAGUGAAUUGUCAAAACUUGACUAUUUAGAAAGGAUAACAAAAUUCGAAUGUUCUAUAGAAAAUUUAUUAUUGAUUUCUGAUAUUGGUAAUCCAAUGACUGGAUGGUACACUUAGAUACUUUGGCCCAAUGGAAUAUUCAUAACUAAGCACCCAAAGCGUCAGCGACCUGCACCUUCUGCAAGCCCAACCCAUGGAUCUUCUCAGGACCAACCUUCUCUAUUUUCUUCACCAAAAAAUGAUGAAUUGCAGAAGAUGCAACAGAAGGAAGCUGAACAGAGAGCAAAAUUUGUAUAUGAACUAAUGCUUGGUAAUAGUUAUUUGUUUGCCUAACGAGGCUUUAUCUUAUUGCUGUACUUUAGAAGUGGGAAGGAAAAUCUCUAAGAUUUUAAUCACUUUUAUGAGAAUCUUUUGCAGAAAAGGCACCGUCUCCUAUUGUAGGCCUUGUUGGACGCGAGGAAUAUGAACAGUGUGCCAAGGACCUCUACUAUUUCAUUCAGGUGAUUCUCAUUUACGUUCAAUUAUCCUCGGAGCAAAAAUACAGCACACAAACACAUUGAUUGUGUCACGGCUCUAUAAUUCCAACUAGAUUUAUUGUUAGACGAGCUGCAUCUGAUCAUUCAAGACUUUGUUGUCCAAUUUUCAUUGAUACAAUAGCCAAUGAUGACCUCAUAGAUUAAGCACGGUGUUAUUAUUUCAGAAAUAAAAAUUUCAGAUAAAAUUGUGAGUUUAGCCUCUCUUUUGUCUUCUACUUGAAUGAAUCACUGGUGGAACCAGUUAGAAUAGGAGAUUGUAGAAAUAUUUUCUCUCUUGCUUAUAAUAGUCUAGCUAGGAAUUACAUUUUUUCCUUUUAGUAAUAGGAUUUUUCCUUCUCCUACUCCUAUAGAUAGGAUUAUACUUGUAUAUACAGGAUUAGUUAUGGAACAAAUAGAUUCAGCCUAAAUUCCGUUCUUUCAUUGUAGUGAGAGAUUUGGCUGUUGGGGAUAGUGCUCUUUUAUAAGUCAAUAAAAUAAGAAUGGCAGGGGGGUUAUAAUAGAAAAUCUCGUUGUUCAAAAUAAUGGAUAUUUCUAAUUAUGCAAGUCGAAUAUUGAAGACAGAAUUUUGGAAAAGGAUGCAAAGUUGGACAAAAUGGAUUGUUGCAUUACAAAAUGUCAGUUCAGUAAAGAGCAUCAGAAAGAUACCUAUCAAGUGAAUAAGGAAUAUUACAGAACAACUCUUAAAUUAUCACAUUAAGUGAAGGAUCGCCUGAGGACAAAUGACGUAUGAUGAACACAGGGAGCAAGAAUUUUAAGAUAGAUAAAUAGUUAUACUAUAAUGGAGUGAAAUUAAAAAUAAGGAUACAUAACGCCAAAUGUAAUAGGAGAAUUGUAGGAGAAGGGAAAAGGGAAGAGAAGAGAAAGGAGGGGGAAAGGAGAUAAGAAGGGGGAGAGGAAGAGGGAAAUAAGGGAGAAAAUAUCAAAUUUUCUUCAUUCGAAAGUUGCCCAAUUACAUCUCAUAAGACCCCUUUUUUUAGGGUUUCAAAAGACCCUAUUCUAAGCAAGGAAAUAACAUAAAAUUAACCAUAAUUAUGUUUCCUAAAAUAAACUUUAAAAUCGGAAACUAAAUAUACUAAUAUCAAUUAUAAUAUUCCAUCAAUACAUGCUAGAAGUUGAGAUGAAAUUGAUCUCGGAUAAAUUAUUAACUCCUACAGAAAAAGUUAGCAGAGGGAGAGAUACAAAAACCAACAUGGCAUAAUAGGCAAAAAAUUGAUUUCAUCAAAUCUUUCAGUAAAAUGUAUUGCUUAGUGGAAUGCAGUUAUGCAAAUAUAUUCAGGGAAUCAUCGUCAAGUUUAUUGCAAAUGAGGGUUCACGGGGUAGGGAGAUUGUGAUCAUUCUUAGCAUUGAUUUAUUGUGUAUAUUUGCGGUAACUAAUGGAUGAACUUUUCACUUUUCUUGUACAGUCGUCUGUUUGUAUGAAGCAACUAGCUUUUAAUCUUCUUGAGAUGCUGCUCUUGUUACUGUUCCCAGAGCUUGAUUAUGUCUUCAGAGAGUUGGAGGAAGAGAAAGAAAAGUUCGGAAAACUCUAGCCAAGUCGGAUUUUGGCAUUCUUUGUGAAGUGUAUAUGGAUGUAAAGUUAUGAAGCUAAUUUCAUAGGUCGGAAAAUAGCCUCGAGUUAUUUUCACUUUUCGAUCGAUAUCUCGAAGAAAUUUCAUGUUAAUGUCUAAAGUUGUUAAACUGACAAUUCUUCGUUGGGUUGGGAAGCAGAUUUGGGCCCGUUUGGUACCUAUUUUUUUUUUAAAAUGAAUUUUUUCUCUCUUCUUUUCAACUACAUAUUUUUUAUUAAAAUAAUAUUACAUGUAAAUCAAAAAAUUUUCCUUAUUUUUGAACCACACAUUUUCC